AUUGAACGCUGGCGGCAGGCCUAACACAUGCAAGUCGAACGAGUGGCGGACGGGUGAGUAAUGUCGGGGACACUGCCUGAUGGAGGGGGAUAACUACUGGAAACGGUAGCUAAUACCGCAUACCAUCGGGUGUGCCCAGAUGGGAUUAGCUAGUAGUUGGGGUAAAGGGUCACCUAGGCGACGAUCCCUAGCUGGUCUGCGAGGAUGACCAGCCACACUGGACCUGAGACACGGUCUAGACGCCUACGGGAGGCAGGAGUGGGAAAUAUUGGACAAUGGGCGCAAGGCUGAUGCAGCCAUGCCGCGGGUAUGAAGAAGGCGUUCGGGUUGUAAAGGACGUUCAGCGGGGAGGCGUUACCCGCAGAAGAAGCACCGGCUAACUCCGUGCCAGCAGCCGCGGUAAUUC
RNAcentral lists this ribosomal RNA (406 nucleotides) under uncultured bacterium. RNAcentral describes it as "partial 16S ribosomal RNA". It matches the Rfam family "Bacterial small subunit ribosomal RNA", at positions 29 to 526 of the family's 1533-position model. The record is from RNAcentral.